CCUACGGGAGGCAGCAGUGGGGAAUAUUGGACAAUGGGGGCAACCCUGAUCCAGCCAUGCCGCGUGUGUGAAGAAGGCCUUCGGGUUGUAAAGCACUUUAAGCGGGGAGGAAGGCUCUAUGGCUAAUAUCCAUGGGGAUUGACGUUACCCGCAGAAUAAGCACCGGCAAACUUCGUGCCAGCAGCCGCGGUAA
This 193-nucleotide ribosomal RNA is filed under the name uncultured bacterium. Its description in RNAcentral is "partial 16S ribosomal RNA". It matches the Rfam family "Bacterial small subunit ribosomal RNA", at positions 338 to 523 of the family's 1533-position model. The record is from RNAcentral.